RNAcentral lists this long non-coding RNA (878 nucleotides) under Rattus norvegicus (Norway rat). Its description in RNAcentral is "long non-coding RNA NONRATT019716". The record is from RNAcentral. Lineage: Eukaryota; Metazoa; Chordata; Mammalia; Rodentia; Muridae.
CAAACACACGAGGCCAUACAUACCUCCUAAUCUUUCCCAAAUAGUCCAACUGGGGACCAUACUUCCUCAUUCAAGGGUCUACAGUGAUCUCUUCCUGUGUGGGGGUCCUUAUCUUCACUCAUAUCCAACUCAGGACACUUCCCUGACUUUAAAACUUUUACGUCCCUUCUCUUGAUUUCAGCCUAAAUGGCCACUCUGCUUAUUUUGCUUUCUCAGGCCGAAUCCUUGAAGUCUUCCAUGGCAGUGUUCUUGAACCUCUUCUUCAUUCCUAUUUUCCCCUGGGAUCUUAACUCACACAACAUUCCUCAAUGGGCUCUUUCUUUCUGCUUCAGAGAGUGACUCCCGUACACUGAAAUGUCACUUGCACAAGGACUACACUAUUUAAAAUGGUAGCUUCUGUUCAUAGGGUGCUUCUUAACUUUGCUUGAGAUAAUUUAUCACGGACAAACACAGAUAUAUGUAACAUUGUAUUGUGUGUCUUUUCCUUCCUGGCCUCCCCGUUUCCUAAUGCAUACACAGAGUGUGGGCUGCACAAGAACCAGGACACUUUCCUUUUUUUGUUUACUAUCGUCAAAGGCUAAGACAAUAAUAUGUAGACUGUGGGAUCAGAUAUUUGUUGACUGGAUACAGCUUCCUAGGAAUUGGUAUGUAAGAUGUAAGUUUAAUAGCUGCUGAUGUUCAGAAAGUUGCUUUAGUGUAAAGAAGCUUUAGGUUGUAAAAAAACGACUCGAUGGAGGAAGUACAAAGUUUUGACCAGACCUUGAGAAAAAAAACCAAAAUAAGCUUUCCUUAGAUUUAAUUCCUACUACUCUUUAUCCUACUGAGUUGUACCAUUCUUUUUAAUAAAGACUUUACUCCCACUCUUGUCUGGACUGGUG